UACGUAGGGUGCGAGCGUUGUCCGGAAUUAUUGGGCGUAAAGGGCUCGUAGGCGGUUUGUCGCGUCGGGAGUGAAAACCUUGGGCUUAACUCAGGGCUUGCUUUCGAUACGGGCAGACUAGAGGUAUGCAGGGGAGAACGGAACUCCUGGUGUAGCGGUGAAAUGCGCAGAUAUCAGGAGGAACACCGGUGGCGAAGGCGGUUCUCUGGGCAUGAUCUGACGCUGAGGAGCGAAAGUGUGGGGAGCGAACAGG
RNAcentral lists this ribosomal RNA (253 nucleotides) under uncultured bacterium. RNAcentral's name for it is "partial 16S ribosomal RNA". It matches the Rfam family "Bacterial small subunit ribosomal RNA", at positions 524 to 776 of the family's 1533-position model. The record is from RNAcentral.